CCUACGGGUGGCAGCAGUGGGGAAUAUUGCACAAUGGGGGAAACCCUGAUGCAGCGACGCCGCGUGAGUGAAGAAGUAUUUCGGUAUGUAAAGCUCUGUCAGCAGGGAAGAAAAUGACGGUACCUGACCAAGAAGCCCCGGCUAACUACGGGCCAGCAGCCGCGGUAAUACGUAGGGUGCCAGCGUUAUCCGGAUGUACUGGGUGUAAAGGGAGCGUAGACGGCUGGGCAAGUCCGGAGUGAAAGGCGGGGGCUCAACCCGCGGACUGCUUUGGAAACUGCCAGGCUGGAGUGCAGGAGAGGUAAGUGGAAUUCCUAGUGUAGCGGUGAAAUGCGUAGAUAUUAGGAGGAACACCAGUGGCGAAGGCGGCUUACUGGACUGUAACUGACGUUGAGGCUCGAAAGCGUGGGGAGCAAACAGGAUUAGAUACCCCUGUAGUC
Molecule: ribosomal RNA, 440 nt
Filed under: uncultured bacterium
Lineage: Bacteria
Description: partial 16S ribosomal RNA
Rfam family: Bacterial small subunit ribosomal RNA
Source: RNAcentral